RNAcentral lists this long non-coding RNA (850 nucleotides) under Gopherus agassizii (Agassiz's desert tortoise). RNAcentral's name for it is "lncRNA (ENSGAGG00000003422.1)". Lineage: Eukaryota; Metazoa; Chordata; Testudines; Testudinidae. The record is from RNAcentral.
AGCUGGGUAAAGGGCACAGGGAUCAGUCUGUCAAAGGUAGGGGAGGAUCGUGAGAGGAGAGGGUCUAAGAGAGGAGGAGCAUGGGCUAGGCUCUGUAUUUGGGCUUGGCAGGGAUUGAGAGAAGGGACAAGGCUGUUAGAGGGCAGUGCGAGCGGGGUCGGAGAUGGGGGCAAGGCCUGAAAAGUUCAGCUGCUUUAGAUCAACUGUGCCAGAGAAUCACUGGUUGAAGUGACUGAAAGCUCUGACCUGGGGCUGUCCAAAAUCCUCUUCCUCAGAUGGGAACAUGCCAAAAGCUCAGCCUCUGAGGUGAAUGUUGUGGCCCUAACCUCUCUCUGCUCUGUACCUCACAGGAUUCCAGCCGGCUGUUCCAAUCCAGGAGGAAAACUGUGCCACUGAAGUCUCCCAGCACCUGUGCAGUGAAGUGCCACUUAACCCCACUGUGAUGCACAGACCUUGCCCUGGCUGUCUGCACAGGGCUGAAUUUCACCCCUUCAGAGUGUAUUCUAAGGGACCCCGUGCGUCAUAUGGGCAUUCUUGGGAGUGCGGACUGCAUCAGACCUGCACCUGAAUAAAUAAUAGGGACUGAAAUAUGCAGACACUAAAGUUCUGCAGCCAAAUUCUCAGAAACCUUCCUCUGCAAUGUAGGAUCAGGAUUUUGGUUUGAAUUGAUUUUUUUUUUUAACGUGCUGAGCAGAUGCUACCCUGUAAGAAGAGGAAACAGAAGCAAAAACUGAAAAACAGUUGCUAAAACCAAUGAACAGCUGCAGAGAGUGGAGACCCGGGAAAGCAAACAAAUGAAUACUGUGAGUAAAUAACCUGAAAGCAAAUGGGGAAGAAAACCUUAUCUGGG